CUCCUCCUCACAUUGGACAAACAAUCGUGAUCAUACCUUGGGGCCUUUCCACAUCUUAUCCCUUCUGCUUUCUGAAGGACACCCAUAUGUUUCAUUCCCUUCCUGUUUCAGUCCUCAGAUUAAUAUCACCUUAUUAUAAAUAGGGCUUUCUAUGAUCCCUCUCUGUAAAAUAACAACAUUCUCCAACUCGACCUACUCUAUCCCUAUCAUCCUACUUAAUUUUACUUCAAGACACUUAACAUCGAAAUCACAAUACAUUCAAUUGUUUAUUUAUUUAUUGUCUGCUUCCCAACCUUUCCCCACUAGACUAUAAAUAUUGUAUAAAUCUAAGAGCUUCUUUUUUUUUUUUAAUUCAAGUCACUGAUCUCACAGCAUCUAGAAUGGUAUCUGUUACAGAGCUAGAUUCAAACUCCUGAGCUCAAGGGAUCCUCCUACAUCAGCCUCUCUAGUAGCUGAAACUACAGGGCUUAUCAAAAAUAGUGAUGACGUACAUCUUGCCAAACCUAUUGCAACCUCCCCUUAGAUGUUAAUAUUAUUGCUGGAAGUUGGACUUUUCAUAGAACAUGUGAGAGAUUAGGUGAGGUUCUCAUCAUAUUAAAAAAAAACACAGAUUUCUGCUAAUUGUUACAAAUUAC
This 635-nucleotide long non-coding RNA is filed under the name Homo sapiens (human). RNAcentral's name for it is "HSALNT0307738". Lineage: Eukaryota; Metazoa; Chordata; Mammalia; Primates; Hominidae. The record is from RNAcentral.